UUGGGACUUCAGCUGUCCUGGUCCAGGAAUCAGGAAACUGCUACAGCUCAGCUUAAUGCCCUUGGUUCUCAGGAGCAGCCUCAUGACACUCACGACAGGAACACACCCUCACGACGGGAACACAAAGGAUUCCUCCUCUACACUCCGGGCAAUUUUCAAAGCACACAGAUCUGUCCACUGACAGGAGCACAGAAGAUCCAUACUCUGCCUUCUCGUCCCAGCAUGUGGGAUCUUGGCUCUCCCACCAGGCAUCAAACCUACACUCCCUGCAUUGGAAGGAGGAGUCUUAACCAGGGAAGUUCCCUCAUCAGUGUUUGCUCUGCAGGAAGGAACUCGGUAUCACCAAAAGCUAACCAGGCACUACAGACCACAGAGAAAUUCACAGUAAGUUGAAAUGGAUGAAAAGGCAGUUUAACUGAGUUUAUUUUCCCUCUGCAAAGCGAUAAAAGCAGAUAUAUUCCAAAA
Long non-coding RNA from Bubalus bubalis (water buffalo), 465 nucleotides. RefSeq lists it as uncharacterized. The transcript has 3 exons. The record is from RefSeq and is a predicted model, not a curated record. Lineage: Eukaryota; Metazoa; Chordata; Mammalia; Artiodactyla; Bovidae.